This 604-nucleotide unclassified non-coding RNA is filed under the name Hevea brasiliensis (rubber tree). Lineage: Eukaryota; Viridiplantae; Streptophyta; Magnoliopsida; Malpighiales; Euphorbiaceae. The record is from RNAcentral.
UUCUGGAAUCCUUGAAGAUGAGAUUUCUUUGAUCAACAGUCAACCAAUACCUUUGCUCUUCCAGGAAGUAGGAAACAGAACGAAGGCCCCGAUUGCUUCCUUGCUGCAACGGUACAGAGCACUGUCCAGCAAAUUCUGGGGAUAUUUCAGGAUGUAUAGCAAUUCUUCGCGCCACAAUAUUCUUUCGGUAGUGCUCAAAAAUCCCAAGAAAAUUCUCCUCUCUAGCUUUCAGAAUACACAUGUCUCGCAUCAGAUCAUGAACGCGACAUGUUUUGAUGCCUAUUCCCGUGUGAUCCCUUUGACUCACUUGAAUCAUGCACCUGCCCACAAGCUCUUCCAAAUAUUGCUCGCCUACAUCUUCCAUUGUUUCUUCUCCUUCUCUUUCCACUCGUGGCACAAAGCCUUCAGCAAUCCACAUCCGAAUCAAUACUCUCUUUUGAAUCUCCCAAUCUUCUGGAAAUUGAGAAAAAUAGAGAAAGAAUGGUUUCAAAUAGAAAGGCAUAUCAAGAUAGCUCAAAGCUAAUAUGCCAUACACUCCUCCAUAUUGAUGAUUUUGUUCCCACUUGACGAAUUGUGCAUUAAUAUUUCUGUGCACUGCCUCCCA